GCAGAAGGGCUGGGAGGUCCCCACCCCAGGCCCCCUCAUUUCCAGUGAGGCCUGCAGAAGACCCAGAAAAUUUCUCAUAGGCCCUGAGGAGGAAAAGAACAGAAAAUUAGUCUGUGUGCCAGGAAUCUGGGUGCCACUUAGGCGGGCCUGCUGGCUCAGGGUCUCUCACAGGCUGAAAUCAAGGUGUCACCUGAGGCUACCAUCAUCUCAAGGCUUAACUGGCAAAGGAUGUACAUUCAGCCACCCUAGAUGGUUGUUGGCAGGACGCAAACUCCUCGUGGGCUAUUGAAUUGAGGACCUCUGUUUAUUGUUCUUGUCAGCCCAAGGCUGCCCUGAGUUCCUUGCCAUAAGGACCUCUCCAUAAGGCAGCUUGCAACAUGGGAGGUGCUUCAUCAGAGCCAGCUGGUGACAGAGUACAAGCAAGAUGAAAGUGACAGUCUUCUAUAACCUGAUCUUGGAAGUGACAGCCUAUCAUUUUUGCCAUAUUCUUCUCAUUAGAAGCAAGUCAAUAGUCCCACACUCUAAGUAAGGAGAUUGCAGAAGGGCAUAAAUAGGAGGAGAUGGGGAUUGCUGAAGGCCAAUUCAGAAGCUGCCUGCCUAGAACCAAGGAGUAUACGAAGCAUGCACAAGAUGGUUCAUCCUGGCAGAGGAGGAACAGUUCUUCCCUCAUAACCGAGCUGGAGAGGCACACGUGGCAGAAGGUAGAGGUGCGAAUUCACAGAAAUCAAGGAUGUAAGAUGAAGGUAUGUCUUCCAACAUACGGCAACAUCCAGUUGAUUCACUGAACUGAGAAAUGGGUGUAUACCUGUAAAAGAAAGGAAGAGCUAGCUUCAGUAUGCAGCCUAGUGAAACUGGAAUCAGAACAGAAUGAAUACGAUGAACUGGAAAUGUCAUGUUAUUGAGCUACAGUCUCUAGAACAGAGACAGUGGCAUCAGUUGGAGUCCUUAAUAUUUGAGGUUUCUUGGCUAAACUAACUUCCCCCAGAGAGGGCUAAGACGGAGGGCUAAGACGGGUAAUACCAUGUCUGCCUGUGACUCUCCUUUUAGUCAAGCUUCUGAGUGGGCUCCACCUCCAUUCAGGAUGAUGGUAGUAACACAGCUAAUGAAAGACAGUUUUCACUGGGUUAGAAAGUCCUAACGGCCAUUUUUUUUCUUUCUUGAGAGUUCUGUGUAAUUUUUUCUUUUUGAAGAGUUCUGUGUUUUUUCAGAGUUCUGAUCUCAUAUGAAAUGAUUUCAAAGUUUAGCUCUCAGUGGGAAAUAAUUUGUCCACAUUCCAGGGAAACAGGAGAAAGCCCCUUAGUUCUAAGAGUAGUACUGACAGUCAUCACCUACAGUCAAAUGAUAUUUUGGGCAAGUCUGCAUUCUUUUAUGAGCCACAAAACCAUAUAGCAGGAACUAAGAUGCAGAGACCCUGUAAUAAAUACAUUCCUUCCACCAGCUCUUAGACAUCGUUCAUAAAUUGUUCCAUUUGACAGUGAACAGGGAAAAUGGAUGAGAAACGUGGCCUCAAGCAUAUAAUGUAUAUGUGGUCAAAGAGUCAUGACCCAUGUGGCCACAUUACCAGAUUAUAUCUUAUUCUCACUUUCUCUACAAUAGGAUAAGCACCAACAGGAUAGAAAUACACUCUUCUCUCCAAUUUAAUUAUACCUUUAUUAUUACUUUUCUUAUAUGCACACAAGCAGCAACAGCUAAUGUAAAGUGGAAAUUGUAAUACAAUUUCCAUACUGUGUCUUUGUUGACUACAAAAUUAUAUAAAAAAUGUGUCUCACCCUUUAGUUGGGACCAUUUAGAAGCCUGAGGGCAAUUACACAGAGUGUAUUGGAGUUAGCCGCACAAUCUCCUAAUGGCAGCUUGGCCCAAAGCCAAGCUUUAAGCCAAACCUCAGGGAAUUCAAAUUUAAAAGUCAGCUACAUUAGUGGUAGUGAUUCAGUUUGGAGAAGAUAUCGCUUUUCGUGAUUUAUUACAGCCAGUGCUUUCAGUACAUUUAAAAGAUGGUCUAGCUUAGUUGCAUUUUCAAAGGAGCGCUACUGCAUAAAAUGAGGAACAUCUGAACUGAAAGCUAUCAGAAUGGAAAAGCUUGACUAGGGCUUGAAUUAUGUGGAAAGCGUAAUUCUUAGAAAUAGGUCCUCAAACACACAAGAAUCUGCAAAAAUGAGCUAUACUUUCAACCCCCCAAUAUCUAACCCUCGUGAUCAUUUGGUAGAGAAGGGUCUGUUACUGUCAAGUAUUUUUAAAUGACUGCAAAGACAUUAAUUCCCUAGGUGCAGAAUAAUCAUUCAGUAUCAAGAAUAAACAUAUAAUUUAAAAUAUU
Molecule: long non-coding RNA, 2311 nt
Filed under: Homo sapiens (human)
Lineage: Eukaryota; Metazoa; Chordata; Mammalia; Primates; Hominidae
Description: non-protein coding LINC02111:5
Source: RNAcentral